CAUUCCCAGCAUCUCUCAGCAAGAAGACACUUCUGAGGAAACAACAAAAGGCAGCUUAAAGGAAUGAUAUUCUGAAAUGAGGAUGCAGAGAAGACAUUUGUGGUGGGUUGCCCCCCGUUCGGACCGGUUUGCAAGAACCAGUAGUAAAACUGGCAGGAGGCUCCACCCACCACCCUGGAUGUCAUCAUAGGUGAUCUGCGAGCAAGUGAGCAUGAUCCCAUUGCAAACUGGUAGUAAAGGCAUCCAGUGAUCACUGGAAUGGAAGAAGCAUUAGACACACAAUGUUAAGAGUCAAAAAAUGAUGGAAGGAAAAUGAGUGAUAAGCAGCAAAAAGAAACAGGAGGCAGAGAAAAAGCUUGUGAACAUUUCCUUCAACAAUCGUCAGAAGGCCUUUCUUAAUACUAAUAUGAGCCAAUUUUCAGCCAUUUUGAGACACAAUAGAAUAAAUGCUUUUCCUUAUCAUAAAUAUGAGACCCAACUUUUCUUUGCUGUUCCAAUCAUUUUUUUUCUGCAGUCUAUGAAACUAGAUUUAGCAGAGGUUUUUUUUUUUGGAGGGGGAGAAAAACUGUGUACAAUUUCCUAGGUUUCCCACAUGCCCAGAAGAUGGCACAGAAUUUGAAACAAUUAGAUAGCUUCUUAUUCAAAGCAAUACUGAGGUAUUGAAGGCAGUGAAACAGAGUGGAGGAAAGAGUGGA
Long non-coding RNA from Pantherophis guttatus, 695 nucleotides. RefSeq lists it as uncharacterized. The record is from RefSeq and is a predicted model, not a curated record. Lineage: Eukaryota; Metazoa; Chordata; Lepidosauria; Squamata; Colubridae.